UAUUCUAAUAAUUUAUAUUUCUUUUUUGUCCCAGGUAUUUACCACCAGAGUGUUUUGUGGUUGGGAAAGAACCACCAAAGAUCUCAAAUAAAGUUGAUGUGUGGUCAGUGGGUGUGAUCUUCUAUCAGUGUCUUUAUGGAAGGAAGCCUUUUGGCCAUAACCAGUCUCAGCAAGACAUCCUACAAGAGAAUACGAUUCUUAAAGCUACUGAAGUGCAGUUCCCGCCAAAGCCAGUAGUAACACCUGAAGCAAAGGCGUUUAUUCGACGAUGCUUGGCCUACCGAAAGGAGGACCGCAUUGAUGUCCAGCAGCUGGCCUGUGAUCCCUACUUGUUGCCUCACAUCCGAAAGUCAGUCUCUACGAGUAGCCCUGCUGGAGCUGCUAUUGCAUCAACCUCUGGGGCGUCCAAUAACAGUUCUUCUAAUUGAGACCGACU
RNAcentral lists this small RNA (436 nucleotides) under Pongo abelii (Sumatran orangutan). Its description in RNAcentral is "retained intron". Lineage: Eukaryota; Metazoa; Chordata; Mammalia; Primates; Hominidae. The record is from RNAcentral.